GAUGAACGCUGGCGGCGUGCCUAAUACAUGCAAGUCGAGCGAACAGACGAGGAGCUUGCUCCUUCGACGUUAGCGGCGGACGGGUGAGUAACACGUAGGUAACCUACCUAUAAGACUGGGAUAACUUCGGGAAACCGGAGCUAAUACCGGAUAAUAUUUCGAACCGCAUGGUUCGAUAGUGAAAGAUGGCUUUGCUAUCACUUAUAGAUGGACCUGCGCCGUAUUAGCUAGUUGGUAAGGUAACGGCUUACCAAGGCAACGAUACGUAGCCGACCUGAGAGGGUGAUCGGCCACACUGGAACUGAGACACGGUCCAGACUCCUGCGGGAGGCAGCAGUAGGGAAUCUUCCGCAAUGGGCGAAAGCCUGACGGAGCAACGCCGCGUGAGUGAUGAAGGUCUUCGGAUCGUAAAACUCUGUUAUUAGGGAAGAACAAACGUGCAAGUAACUGUGCACGUCUUGACGGUACCUAAUCAGAAAGCCACGGCUAACUACGUG
This 497-nucleotide ribosomal RNA is filed under the name uncultured bacterium. RNAcentral describes it as "partial 16S ribosomal RNA". It matches the Rfam family "Bacterial small subunit ribosomal RNA", at positions 28 to 507 of the family's 1533-position model. The record is from RNAcentral.